Molecule: ribosomal RNA, 460 nt
Filed under: uncultured bacterium
Lineage: Bacteria
Description: bacterial SSU rRNA
Rfam family: Bacterial small subunit ribosomal RNA
Source: RNAcentral
UACGGGAGGCAGCAGUGGGGAAUAUUGCACAAUGGGCGAAAGCCUGAUGCAGCUAUGCCGCGUGUAUGAAGAAGGCCUUAGGGUUGUAAAGUACUUUCAUCGGGGAGGAAAAACAAAACUAAUAAUUUUAUUUCUUGACGUUACCCGAAAAAGAAGCACCGGCUAACUCCGUGCCAGCAGCCGCGGUAAUACGGAGGGUGCUAGCGUUAAUCAGAAUUACUGGGCGUAAAGAGCACGUAGGUGGUUUUUUUAAGUCAGAUGUGAAAUCCCUGGGCUUAACCUAGGAACUGCAUUUUGAAACUGAAAUACUAGAGUAUCGUAGAGGGAGGUAGAAUUCUAGGUGUAGCGGUGAAAUGCGUAGAUAUCUGGAGGAAUACCUGUGGCGAAAGCGGCCUCCUAAACCGAAUAACUGACACUGAGGUGCGAAAGACGUGGGGAGGCAAACAGGGAUUAGUAUACC